GCAGCCUCAAAAUUUGCACCCAAACUCCUUCUUAGCUUUCCAUCCUCACCUUGUUAUUUCCAUCUCACUCUUCCUUCUUGUGAGUCAUUUCCUUUUCUUUUCUUUUUUUUUUUUUUUAACUGUCAGCUCUAUAAUCUGUAACUUCCUUUUUAAUCUUUUAACACCUUCUCUAGCAUCACCGUGUUCCCUGUUGUUUUGUCUCUUUCACUGUGACAUAGUUCUUCCACCCUCAACCCCAGCUUAGCUCAUCUGGUCAUUUCCACCAGACCUCCACUGACUAACAAACAAGAAUUUUGCAUCAACCUCCGCCUGCUUUCACUAUAAGUCGGCGCAUCAGAUUUUAAAACAGAGUCCAUCUUUACAAUAUCUCCCCCAGUUAAUUGCCCUGUCUUCAGUGUUCUUCAUCAGUUUUAGCCAUUCUGUUUUGUUCUGAGCCAACUAGCUUUAAAGGGAAAUUACACUCUGAUAUAACAUGCAUACUUUUCAGCAACCACGCCCCCAUGUAAAUGCACAAAAAUUGCACACUUACAUUUUUUCCUUCAGUUGUCUGCUUUCAGCAUCGCUGUUCCUGCCAGAGACCAGUGUCCUAAUUCACUGCCAUUUGUUUUUAGUGCCUCUCCUACAAUAAUAACUAUAAGAACUAUAAACUAAACUAUAAACUAACUAUGGUUGCAGUAAUUUCAAUGGAAUAGGCAAUUCUGAAUAAAGGAUGUUUAUUUUUAUAUCUGAGGAUAAUGUUGUUGGCAGUGCAGAGCAACAUUUGUGUUGAAAUAUGUCAUAAUGCAGUCUGACACAGUGCCUGAAAAAAUUGUUCAACCACUGAUAGUUGUUGGUAACUUAAAAGUGAUUGCAGACAAACUCGUGAAUUCCUAUAAAGAAGAGACAGAGAAAUCACUCCAUAGAUUCCCUAGCUGCUGUAGUUUGUUGAUACUUACGAGCAGUUAUUUUAUGCAGGGCGAUUAAAAACGAAUGGAAGUGGAUUAGGACCUUGACAGCUGGGAGAAACGGCGAUGCUGACUGCAUUUUUAGAAGUGCUUUUACAUGGAGAUAAGGCUGCUGAAAACUAAGAAUGUUAUAACGAAGUGAAAUGUCACUAAAAUCAUGGUGUGGCGUCGCUGAUCUUAAUAGAUUCAUCAUUCUUCUACCUCCUAACAUUGCAAAAGAAUUUGAUCUUUGCCAUGUCAGUGAUAAUUCCAUACAAGUCCAGCACCUUAAAAAAACACACACACACACACACAAAUGCAGGCAUGGCAGGUAACCUUUAACAGGCCCAAAGUCAUUGUGUUAUCCUCUUGAAAGAGGAUGUGUUGCUCUCAGACUAUGUGUCAUUUGUAAGCUUUGCCCACUUUGUUACUGGCAGCAUAGGUUUUUGAAAAUAAAUUCUUAAUGAAUAAUAAUGAGCAAUCCACAUUCAGUCAGGAAACUCGGAUUGGCCUAACUCAGUGGCACACCUUUACAAGCAAACCGGUCUACAGACACACAUUUUAAUGCGAAGCCUUUUAAAUGACACAUCCUCGCUCACUGUUAAGCUGGUUGUGCAAACUGCGACUUGUGCUGCUGGUCUCUCCUAUCACAAGAAUCCUGCCGCUCUUGUUCAGCCAGCCACUUCCCAACUCCGCCUGCCAACAUAAUCUGCUGUUAUGGGAGGUGCGUACUUUCUGAGUCAAGUCUAGCAGCAGCAAGCUGUAAAAAAGAUGUGUUCUGCCAAAACCACAUUUAGCCUACUGCUAUGUCACAACCAUUUACAAACUUAAUUGAUAUCAAUGUGUGAGUUGUCCUGACUGAAAUAAAACAAAUCUCAAAUUAUAGCAUGCAUUUUGCCAACUUCUGAGCGAAUGAUGCUUCGAGACACCCCCUAAACAGAAUAUUUCACUUAACAAAAAGUCAAAAAUGUGCCAGUACUGUUCACCCACAGUUUCAAGAAAAAUUAAGGUGCGGUUCCACAUAUGGUAUAUUAUCAGUUUUUUGCUUUGAGCUUGCAGCUUUGCACACCUUUUGACAUCUGUCUUCCUAGGCCUGUGGGUUUAUUCUCAUGUUCCUGUAAAUCAUCGGGGCUUCAUAAUAAAUAGCACACCAGAAAUACACUAGCGAGCCCUUUGCCGCACUGACAGACGACCACAAUAGUGGGAUUUGGGCUGCAAAAUGUCAGCAUGCUUUCACAGCUAAAAGGGCCUCUUGAAAAGCCUGUUGAACUGCGCAGAAUUCAAAAGGAAGACUCUGUCACCAGAUGUGCCACUGUCCUGAAAAAGAAAUGAACCUCUGAGCAACAAUAAGUUUUGCUUAUGGGUUUCCUGUCCUCCCAGCGUCAAAGUCAUGCAUGAAAAACUGAGCACUCACUCUAAUAGUCUUAAUCAUUACUCAUUUUGAUUUUGUGCCCAUGAGACCCAUUAUGUGCUUGAAGCUGCAUGACUGGGGACUUAAAGGGGAAUGCUACCCAUUUUUAGAAUUCACAAAUGGUACUCCUGUGCUCCAGGACAAUUCAGGCGACCCUUUCUAGUAUAUCACCAUAAUUUCCUUUGAUUUCCUUUGAUACACUGAACAUGGCUUACAUAGAAUUCAUAAAUAAUCAUCGUUUCAUGUGUGACACAAUGUGACAAUCAGAAAUUUAGAAACUUCAUCACAAAAUCCACUGGAAUGUUCAUCCCAGCAAUGCCACAUCAGCUUUCUGAUUCUCAUGCAUCAAAUCAACACUGAUUUUACCUUGGGAGUAUUAUGUGGCAGCCAUCAUAACAGCAUUUGCCAAAUGACUAUUCAAGAGUGUAGAUUUGAAUAGGAUUGACUGUUCUAUCAACUCAAGUUCUACGGUUAAGUCAGUACUUGUGAACAUGCACCACUCUUUCCUAAAGCUGACCCUCGCAUUUGAGAUGUCACUAGAACUGUGCCAACAGCUGAUGUGAUAGAACGAUUGUCCUGGCCAAAAUGAUCUUGUAUUGUUUAUGCGUUCUGAUUAAUUAUUUAAAAAGAUGAAAACCCUUAGGAGGAUUUGACAGGGGUGGUGACAGGGCUUGAGACUAAAGGGUGUCCCGUCGUCCUGCGAAUGGAAAAAAAAAACAUGUUUGGAACGGACAUACGUCUUUCACAGGAAGCUUCCAGGACAAAAUUAGAAUUUGGGGAUUUUAUUAUGAGACUCGUGAGACCUGUAAACAAUACAUCACAGCACAUACAAGACUCUGAAAUGUUCCUGUGAUAGCAAUCAUUGUUCCAGUAAUGCCAGCAGUAAUAUCAGUUGCCCUAUUUAGAGAGAGCAGAUGACCCGCAAAUCGCCUACCAACACGAGAACUAGGCCUACAUCUUACCUUGGUCAGCCCACAAGUCAGGACAGGACAGGGACGAGGAUAUAUAGGCGACUCUGAGUUGAAACAGGGACCUGGGUCUGACUGAGUUGCUGUCAGAUCCUCAUUUUUGUUGCAUUGAGUCAUGGUUAUCCAGCUGGCUCAGUGAGCUGAAAUAUUUACCUUUUUAGAAAGUGACAUCUGGAGUUCAAAUCUCGAGAGGGCACAUGCCGUGUUUUCAGUCUCCUCACCGUGAACUGUCACAUUCGGUGGAAAUAGACUAAACUUAAGCGGGCAGUACAAUUAGAGAGACAAAAUGAUGAAAGAACACCCUAGUGGACAGAUGAGCUGAAGCCAAAGUUUAACUCAGCCAGCAAUGUGACGUUUGGAUCAAACACGGGUCGCAGGAGGUAUCAGAGGUAGAAAAGACAGAAGAAAAAGUCUCCAUAUUUCAGGUUGUUUUUUCUUCUCGUAACUUUUAUCCUUUUGUGAAGCACUUUAUAACCUGGGUUUUGCUAUAAAUGCUAUAUGAAUAAAAUAUUUCUUAUUUACGGUGACAUCACAAAUUUAAGGGUUCCCCCUUUAGGACAGAGUUAUGCAAGUUCACAAAUAUUGACUGAACAGUUCUGGAGCACAGAAAUAAUGUGAAUUGUUAAAAUUUAUUCUUAUCCAUACUCCUCAGGCUGUUUGUCAUCUCAUUUUCACUCUCACAUUCUUAACAUGUUGAGUUUUUAUCUCCCUGUCUUAAUAAAACACAUGCAACAUCAGGGAGAUUGUGUCCCUGCAUCUGUUUCUUUAUCUGGCCCCUUCAUUUCCUUCUUUCCCCCUUAUUUCACCUUUUUCUUUAACCAAACAGAUUAUUUUCAGCUGCUGUUGUUAGGAACCCAAUCUGGUAGGUUGUCUUCCGUCCUUUUGGCCACGCUUUGAUACACUUGCCCUGUCAAAGCUAGUCUCAGUCCUUGUUCUGCCUUAUUCCCAAGUUUGAAACUAAGUUGGCCAUAAGCGCCAACUGGCAAGCCCCACAUGCUCUGCUGAAAAUCAGUUUUAAACAACUUAUUUUAAAGUUAAUCUGGCUCCACAUAAUCCAUUGGCAAUGUGCUCCGCUUCUGUUACUGCCUCAAUGCUAGUUCGUCACCGCAAUAAGAUUGAGCUAACAUUCACAAUACGUGAAAUUGAAACACUGAAAUGAAAUGUGCUUGUCAUUCAUGCAGACCUUCUCAACUAUUCUAUGCUUUUCAUUGCGUGUUGGUCAAAACAUCUCUAUCUCUACUAAGGCUCAAUGAUUUCUGAAUUUAAAUAGACAGUCAUCUAACAAUGAAGACAGCCCUUCUUAGCUGUGCAGGUUAAGAGUAAUGUGCCUGUUACUGUAAACUUGUUGCUGUCUUGACCUCGCAUUUGAUCCCACCAGGUUGACUCAGGAUUGUGACUCAGAUCGAGUAACCUAGGAAACAAAGGAACAUGGAGAGAGAGGGAGGCUGGGGAACAAAACAAAAAAAGUGUCACGCCACUGUGUCCAUACAUACUGCAGUGUGUGUGAUCAGCUCAGUCGUUCGCACUCUCACAAGUCUGGUCCGAUGCCUAAGUUCUAAACAGACCAACCUGUGUGUAAGGAAAACACUAUCCUCACACACAAUGAGAGGGAGAGAACGAACACUAAAUGCUCAAACCACGCAAAACGGUACAGAGUGGUUUUUGUCUAAGGGGAGCAGAGAGAGUUCUGUCUGCCUGUCUCUCAAUAUUCCCCUAACUCUCCACUCUCUUGGUCAGUCGUUCAGCAGAAAAACGGAUCGAUAAAGAGUUGAAGCUCUCCGCACCAAGUGACUCCUCGUAAAUGGGUACUUAAACUUUUUUUGGUGGGGUGAGAUGGAGGAAGCCAAACGGGCUUGGUGUUUAAAGGGAGAAAAUGAAAGCUGUGCUUCCUAAUGUCCUGUCUAAGUGGAUCUCUCUGUGUCUGAUGAAGCGUGAAGUGCUCUGUAACCCUAACAAAAUGACUAUCACUGUGUUCCUGUGCUUUUAAAUGGCCUUCUCCACUGUGCCACUAUCUCCACUGCCAUCCUGCUCACUAUGAAAUGGGAGGCAGAAAUGGAGGCCAUCCAUAAAUACAGUAAUUGCAUGAAGGGCAGGUGUUUAUCACAGCCCCCACACAGUGUAAUGAUCCAAAAGGUCAAACUGUUACUGUCCUUGUACUUAAUAUUUCACAUAGUCAUACUGAAUAUUGUAUUUGAAUAUAAAAGUUGACCCAUUUUGAGUUUUCUUUCACCCAUGAGAUAGGUGCUGUAUUUGACAUUCUGUGAAAGUUUUCCCCUCGGAGUAGAGAAAUGCUUAGCAAACACAUCCUGUCACUGCUGAUUUGACACCAUGCUUGCAAGGAAGAGAUAUCUAAAUCCUCUAAGUGCAGUCAUGAUAUGUGGUAUUAUGAGGUGCCCCUGUAAGAAUCAAACUCUGCCAUCUCUGUUUUUUUUUUUUCCCCCCAUGGAUUUAACUGCAGAAAUACAAUUAUAGACUAACAUAUCAUUUGUGAGAAAUCUUGGUGGAGAAGAGGAUUAAUAGCAUCAUGUCAAACUAAGAAUUCAAUAUCUUUUGUCUUUAUUUUACUUCGGUCAAACUCCUGUACAAAUAUAGCAAAAGUGUGUCAUAUUAUUGUACAACAAUAUUGCCUCCAUGAAGAAAACACUAAUGAAGUCGUCCUGUAUACAUUUUUUUUUGUUAAUACAAAUAUGUGAAUUCAGUGUUCUCCUUCCUUAAUUGAAUUUGAGGAUCCUUUUAUUUCCUGCCUUUUAUACUUUAAACAUGUUCUUAAACCCUUGGCUAACUUUGGUUAGUCUCCCCUUUUGAUUCAGUCCUCUUCAUUUGUAUAGUAUCCUCAUUACAGCCUUAUGAGGCAUGAAAGGAAAAGCCAAUGUUUGGCUUUCACUCUCUUAUAAAUGUUAAGAGAUGCAAAAUCGAUGCCUUAAUUCAACAUUUGCAUUUCUAAUGUUGACAUUUUCCAAAGUUUAUCCCUCUUGAGUCUUACACCAUUCCCUAUAGCCCCAAACAAAUAUGAAUGGAGAGAGAGUAAACAUGACUCAUUAAGUGAAACAAGCCACAAAAGGCAUGAAAAAAAUUAUGGCUUCAGUUAAUCCUGCACAGGUCUCCAGACUAAGAUUUUAAAUUUCAAUUGAUGAGUAUUAAUGUGUAAUUGACUGCUGGUCCUUUUAUGGUUACUUGUGAGGAGAUUGUCCUUCUGUGCCUUAACUGAGACUUGGUUCAUUAUCUUCCCAUCAGAGUCAUAGGUAUAUGUACUCUAUACACAUAGCUCUGGCUCUGAAGGAGGUUGCGAGAUAUUCUGUGCUGUUCUGAGAAAUAUGCUGUACACUGCUACAAUAUUAAGUGUUUCUCUUUUGAAUCUUUGGACGCUUACUCAACUUAUUAUUGUCGUCCUUGAGCUGUUUUAUUUUGAGUGCAGUCGCUAAGUUGAUCACUUUUUUUCCUUCUUGAAAUUUUCACCUGGGUAGUCCCUGAAAAGUCUGAUGGUGAGAAGCAGGGAGGUUUUGGUUGGGCUGGGUUUCAAACACCUGGAGAUAUACAGAAUUGUGCAAUUAUGACUUCUAAACUGCUUGGAAAAUUGCUUCUGUGCACUUAAAAAAAAAAGAUUAAGAUGAGACUUUCAUUAAUAAACAAGAUAUUGAUAUUUUACUGUUCCUUGUGCCAUAAAAUACACUGUGCUUUUGUAUAGAGGCCAAACAGCACUGCUUUACAGCAUGCACUGCCAUCAAUAUUAAUUUGUAAUCCAGAACAUUCACUCCCCCAUUAUUAAGUUAUACACUACAUCUACUUCCUUUACUCACCCAAGCAGAGAGCAGAUACUCAGCUAACUCAGCAGUCUGCAUAUGCAUGUUGUAUCUGCCCCACUUAGCUGUCCAGCCACCCUCAUUAAAUUUGCACAAUUACAUAGAGGUCUGGCUUAGGCAGGCUUUCAGUAUUAGACUACUACCAAGCUAUUUUGCAAUUAAAUUGUAACAGUGCCUAUGUACAAGAAUAACAAAAUACAACCUCACUGUUUAUUCAGCUUAACACGUAUAGGCCCUGUUAAUAAAUUCUACUAACUAAUGAAUGUGCAAACACAUUCUAACGCACUAAUGUUCAAGCAUGCUAAACUAAAGCUUAGACCAACCAAGCCAAUGCUAAUACAAGGCUAACCCUGUUAAGCUCUCUAGCUGAAGUACUUUGUACCCCAGUUAGCAUGCUUCCUAGUCAUCCACAACCAGUCACAAGCUGCCAUCACUGCCUCUGACAUUCUUAAUCACCCACUUUGCUGACAAUGUUAAUAUCACUUUGUGUUGCCUGCUAAAAUUGUCCAUAAACGCAAUACACAGACCACUGUUGACACCUGACCGCCAUGCAUGUUUUGUGCAUGCAUGAGAUUGAGUAACUCUCAAUCCCAGGAGGGAGUGGUAGUCUUAAAAAAAAAAAAAAAAAACAGUUGGCCAGAACCUUCAGGAACACAAAAGG
Molecule: long non-coding RNA, 7763 nt
Organism: Myripristis murdjan (pinecone soldierfish)
Lineage: Eukaryota; Metazoa; Chordata; Actinopteri; Holocentriformes; Holocentridae
Exons: 2
Source: RefSeq, a predicted model, not a curated record